UGCGGUCUGCGCCUCUCGACAGGAAAAAUUUUCCUUGGGGCCAUACUCGAUCUUAUGGGAGCUGUCCCUGUUUUGGCCUGUGGGCUGGAGCACAUGGCGCCCACCUACUUUUGUAGGCGCCCAGGAUCGAACUUCCAUCGGUCGUCGUGGAUCGCAC
RNAcentral lists this non-coding RNA (157 nucleotides) under Rhizobium sp. G21. RNAcentral's name for it is "6S RNA". It matches the Rfam family "6S / SsrS RNA". From Rfam's summary of the family: E. coli 6S RNA was the first non coding RNA to be sequenced, but its function was unknown until recently. It consists of 184 nucleotides that fold into an extended hairpin structure with a large single-stranded internal bulge. RNAcentral also lists the same sequence under 1 other name. The record is from RNAcentral. Lineage: Bacteria; Pseudomonadati; Pseudomonadota; Alphaproteobacteria; Hyphomicrobiales; Rhizobiaceae.